This 902-nucleotide long non-coding RNA is filed under the name Homo sapiens (human). Its description in RNAcentral is "HSALNT0344404". The record is from RNAcentral. Lineage: Eukaryota; Metazoa; Chordata; Mammalia; Primates; Hominidae.
GGCACACGCUGGGCUAUUCGAUGAUUAGACUUGUGUUUCUCUUUUGAUUCUCUUCUUUUCUCUUCCCUCCUCCUCCCCCAUCCUUUUCCUUCUUCCUUUGGCGUUGGUGGGGGCGGGAGGGAUGAGGUGUUAGGGAAGUGAGCAAGGCACCCUGAAAACAGCCCCCCGAUUCUACACAGUCAGAGUGGGGCCUGUGAGUGCACGCCGGGCAGAAGGGACAGACGUCCUGGGAAGCAGGCUUGGGGGUUUCAGUUCUGGGAAGGAGGUUGGAUUGAGUGGCCUUGAAGCUUCCUUCCCUUCCUCAGACACUGAGGGUCCUGGGGAGUUGUGUGGCUUUGCUCAUUCCAUGGUGAAGAUGCUCUGAGGGAGAGUUUCGCUCUUGUUGCCCAGGCUGGAGUGCAGUGGCACUAUCUCGGCUCACCGCAACCUCUGCCUCCCGGGUUCAAGCAAUUCUCCUGCCUCAGCCUCCCGAGUAGUUGGAAUUACAGGUAUGCACCACCACACCUGGCUAAUUUUGUAUUUUUAGUAGAGACGGGGUUUCUCCAUAUUGGUCAGGCUGGUCUCGAACUCCCAACCUCAGAUGAUCUGCCCGCGUUGGCCUCCCAAAGUGCUGGGAUUACAGGCAAGAGCCUGGGAAACUUCACCCUUACUCUAUCUCAAACCAUGCCAGCCUGGCAGUGUCCAGUGUGUCGGCUGGUGGCCCCAUCCACACAAUGGCCUCGUCCCCUCCCUUAGGGUCUUCUCUGUCUCCUGUGGGUCCCAUCAGUCAAUGCCUAGUCACCCUAUAAAUCUAACUUUCUAUACUAACCCCAGCCCCCUAGACCUUAGAAGUACGUGGAGCUUUUGCUUUCUUUGUUUUAUAAAACCAGGCCUGCCAUUCAGCUAACUUAGUUAAGCUGGAA